This 465-nucleotide ribosomal RNA is filed under the name uncultured bacterium. RNAcentral's name for it is "partial 16S ribosomal RNA". It matches the Rfam family "Bacterial small subunit ribosomal RNA", at positions 338 to 795 of the family's 1533-position model. The record is from RNAcentral.
CCUACGGGAGGCAGCAGUGGGGAAUAUUGCGCAAUGGGCGAAAGCCUGACGCAGCGACGCCGCGUGAGGGAUGAAGGUCUUCGGAUCGUAAACCUCUGUCAGCAGGGAAGAACGGUCACUGUGCUAAUCAGCAGUGAAUUGACGGUACCUGCAAAGGAAGCACCGGCUAACUCCGUGCCCGCAGCCGCGGUAAUACGGAGGGUGCGAGCGUUAAUCGGAAUUACUGGGCGUAAAGCGCUCGUAGGCGGUAUGUCAAGUCAAGGGUGAAAUCCCCGCGCUCAACGGGGGAACUGCCUUUGAAACUGGCAAACUGGAGUGUGUGAGAGGAUAGUGGAAUGCCAGGUGUAGGAGUGAAAUCCGUAGAUAUCUGGAGGAACAGCAGUGGCGAAGGCGACUAUCUGGCACAUAACUGACGCUGAGGAGCGAAAGCGUGGGUAGCAAACAGGAUUAGAUACCCGAGUAGUC